CACGCCGUAAACGAUGAUAACUAGAUGUAGAAGGUAUUGACCCCUUCUGUAUCGAAGCUAACGCAUUAAGUUAUCCGCCUGGGGAGUACGGUCGCAAGAUUAAAACUCAAAGAAAUUGACGGGGGCCCGCACAAGCGGUGGAGUAUGUGGUUUAAUUCGACGCAACACGAAGAACCUUACCUGGGUUAGAAAUCAAAGAGACGGUUUCUAGAGAUAGAUUCCUUCCCUCACGGGACUCUUUGACAGGUGC
RNAcentral lists this ribosomal RNA (250 nucleotides) under uncultured bacterium. RNAcentral describes it as "partial 16S ribosomal RNA". It matches the Rfam family "Bacterial small subunit ribosomal RNA", at positions 796 to 1041 of the family's 1533-position model. The record is from RNAcentral.